This 443-nucleotide ribosomal RNA is filed under the name uncultured bacterium. RNAcentral's name for it is "partial 16S ribosomal RNA". It matches the Rfam family "Bacterial small subunit ribosomal RNA", at positions 338 to 795 of the family's 1533-position model. The record is from RNAcentral.
CCUACGGGUGGCAGCAGUGGGGAAUAUUGGGCAAUGGGCGCAAGCCUGACCCAGCAACGCCGCGUGAAGGAAGAAGGCUCUCGGGUUGUAAACUUCUUUUAUCAGGGACGAAGCAAGUGACGGUACCUGAUGAAUAAGCCACUGCUAACUACGUGCCAGCAGCCGCGGUAAUACGUAGGCGGCAAUCGUUAUCCGGAUUUACUGGGUGUAAAGGGCGUGUAGGCGGGAAAGCAAGUCAGAUGUGAAAACCAUGGGCUCAACCUGUGGCCUGCAUUUGAAACUGUUGUUCUUGAGUACUGGAGAGGCAGACGGAAUUCCUAGUGUAGCGGUGAAAUGCGUAGAUAUUAGGAGGAACACCAGUGGCGAAGGCGGUCUGCUGGACAGCAACUGACGUUGAGGCGCGAAAGCGUGGGGAGCAAACAGGAUUAGAUACCCCUGUAGUC